Molecule: transfer RNA, 73 nt
Filed under: Heterocentrotus mammillatus (pencil urchin)
Lineage: Eukaryota; Metazoa; Echinodermata; Echinoidea; Camarodonta; Echinometridae
Description: tRNA-Thr
Rfam family: tRNA
About the family: Transfer RNA (tRNA) molecules are approximately 80 nucleotides in length.
Source: RNAcentral
GCCUUGAAGGCUCAGUGGUCAGAGCGCUUGGUCUUGUAAACCAGGAGAGAGGGUUAGAACCCCUCUCAAGGCU